Molecule: ribosomal RNA, 1279 nt
Filed under: Salmonella enterica
Lineage: Bacteria; Pseudomonadati; Pseudomonadota; Gammaproteobacteria; Enterobacterales; Enterobacteriaceae
Description: partial 23S ribosomal RNA
Rfam family: Bacterial large subunit ribosomal RNA
Source: RNAcentral
GGUUCACUUUAACACUGAGGCGUGACGACGAGGCACUACGGUGCUGAAGCAACAAAUGCCCUGCUUCCAGGAAAAGCCUCUAAGCAUCAGGUAACAUCAAAUCGUACCCCAAACCGACACAGGUGGUCAGGUAGAGAAUACCAAGGCGCUUGAGAGAACUCGGGUGAAGGAACUAGGCAAAAUGGUGCCGUAACUUCGGGAGAAGGCACGCUGACACGUAGGUGAAGUGAUUUACUCAUGGAGCUGAAGUCAGUCGAAGAUACCAGCUGGCUGCAACUGUUUAUUAAAAACACAGCACUGUGCAAACACGAAAGUGGACGUAUACGGUGUGACGCCUGCCCGGUGCCGGAAGGUUAAUUGAUGGGGUCAGCGCAAGCGAAGCUCCUGAUCGAAGCCCCGGUAAACGGCGGCCGUAACUAUAACGGUCCUAAGGUAGCGAAAUUCCUUGUCGGGUAAGUUCCGACCUGCACGAAUGGCGUAAUGAUGGCCAGGCUGUCUCCACCCGAGACUCAGUGAAAUUGAACUCGCUGUGAAGAUGCAGUGUACCCGCGGCAAGACGGAAAGACCCCGUGAACCUUUACUAUAGCUUGACACUGAACAUUGAGCCUUGAUGUGUAGGAUAGGUGGGAGGCUUUGAAGUGUGGACGCCAGUCUGCAUGGAGCCGACCUUGAAAUACCACCCUUUAAUGUUUGAUGUUCUAACGUGGACCCGUAAUCCGGGUUGCGGACAGUGUCUGGUGGGUAGUUUGACUGGGGCGGUCUCCUCCUAAAGAGUAACGGAGGAGCACGAAGGUUGGCUAAUCCUGGUCGGACAUCAGGAGGUUAGUGCAAUGGCAUAAGCCAGCUUGACUGCGAGCGUGACGGCGCGAGCAGGUGCGAAAGCAGGUCAUAGUGAUCCGGUGGUUCUGAAUGGAAGGGCCAUCGCUCAACGGAUAAAAGGUACUCCGGGGAUAACAGGCUGAUACCGCCCAAGAGUUCAUAUCGACGGCGGUGUUUGGCACCUCGAUGUCGGCUCAUCACAUCCUGGGGCUGAAGUAGGUCCCAAGGGUAUGGCUGUUCGCCAUUUAAAGUGGUACGCGAGCUGGGUUUAGAACGUCGUGAGACAGUUCGGUCCCUAUCUGCCGUGGGCGCUGGAGAACUGAGGGGGGCUGCUCCUAGUACGAGAGGACCGGAGUGGACGCAUCACUGGUGUUCGGGUUGUCAUGCCAAUGGCACUGCCCGGUAGCUAAAUGCGGAAGAGAUAAGUGCUGAAAGCAUCUAAGCACGAAACUUGCCCCGA